AUGUCAUACUUUCAAAAUUAUGGACAUGGCUGUUUGACAGAGGAGAGAGAGGUCUUCUGUUCUGCUAAACUUGUUGAGAUGCUUGAAAUGCAAAAAGGAAGCCUGGAGGGACUUGAGGGGAGCCAAACUGCUCUGCAUCACAGAGAUUUUGGAAUUCUGCAAAUAAUCCAGGAGGAAGAAAUUGAAAAGAAAAGAGGGGAAGAGGAACUAGAAGAAAUGAUCUCAGAUGUUUGCUAUCAUGUGGUGUAAGGCAUAAGAGUGUAGAAUGUUCAAUAUGAAAUUGCCUUGUCCGUGUAUCCCUCCACUCUUCCUACUCUACAUCUUCUGAUUCCCUGUGUGUGUGUGCGUGUGUGUGCGUGUGUGUGUGUGUCUUCUCACAUGCCUGGGUGUGCUUAUAGCAAUUCAGCCGGAAGUGGAUUGCCAGAGGCUGCUAACACAAAACAGUGGUGAGAUGACUCAUAAUUGAAAUAACAAUUCCACACAGGCAAGAAUUUGGAAGAAGGGGUGACUGCUAGAAAAUAAGCUUCUAAAACACACAGAAAUUUUAGGAGGAGCUUUGAACUUCCACAGGCUAUGAAAUGGACUUUUUUGGGGGGAGGGAAUUCACUUUUCAGCCUCCAGAAGCAGAGUCUAGUUUAAAGACCAGCACACUUUCACACUUUUGACAUCCCUCAUGUCUUAGCCCUUGAAGGCUGAUAAAAUCCCACAGACGAGUCCUUAUGCACAGCAAAUGUUUCUCAGGGUUCUGGAAACCGGAGGUGCAGGAUCAGAUCAGGGCUUCAUAGCAGGCAUCUCCUUGCUGUGUCCUCAUGGGGUGGAAGGACCCAGGGAGCUCUGUUAGGGGAAGCACACUGAUUGAAACCAUCCACCCUGGCCAGGCACCAUAGUAACCAUUUGCAUGAGUUGUUUUAUGACAGGAGAUCUGAUAAGGAAUACAGAACUAAUAAGCCACCACCAACCGGAAGAGUUCGGGAAAGAUCAAAAGGAGACACCGCGUGUCCGUCCACUUCCCAGAACCCUCACUAGCAUCCAUCUUGGCUGAGCAAUGCAUGCGCCACCAGGAAAGACUUUGAAUUAGAAUGAUUGGCCAAAGACCACCCGUAAUCCCAUCACCAUAAAACCGAGACUGUGAGCCAUGCGGCAGAGCAUUUCUCCUGGGUUCCCUUACCCUACUGCUCUCCACCCGGUGCCCUUUCCCAAUAAAAUCUCUUGCUUUGUCAGCACAUGUGUCUCCUAGGACAAUUCAUUUCCGAGUGUUAGACAAGAGCCCAGUUUUGGGCCCUGGAAGGGGUCCCCCUUCCUGCAACAGCUCUGAGGAGGUCUCCUGAUGAGGUCACUAAUUCCAUUCCUGAGGCUAAACCUCAUGACCCAUCACCUCCCUAGGGCUCGAUCCCUUAAUCCCAUCACAUUAAGGUGUAGGAUUUCAACAUGGGGACUUGGGAGGGACAGGAAUGAUCAGACUAUACUAUUCUCCUUGGUUCAGGGGGAGACUAUAAAAUUCUUGGUUCAAGAGGAUCUUUAACUCAUCUUUCAAGGCUUAUAUGAGUAACAGCUUAUUGUGUUGGUCUAGUUUGAUGAAAUUUUGACCAUUCAGUAGACUAAAUUAACUGAGAAAAUUUAAUCUGUGCGUACUGAGC
Molecule: long non-coding RNA, 1637 nt
Organism: Bos grunniens (domestic yak)
Lineage: Eukaryota; Metazoa; Chordata; Mammalia; Artiodactyla; Bovidae
Source: Ensembl